GCAACAUCAUGUUGAAACACCAGUUCCCAUAUGAUCACCAAAGUUAAGCAACGUCGAGCCUGGUCAAUAGCUGGAAGGGUGACAGCUUGGGAAAACCAGAUGCUGUAA
This is a non-coding RNA of Acanthosepion pharaonis, 108 nucleotides long. Lineage: Eukaryota; Metazoa; Mollusca; Cephalopoda; Sepiida; Sepiidae. The record is from the annotation of a GenBank genome assembly.